UUAAAACAUCGGUUCCCGUACGAUCACCGGAGUUAAGCAUCAUCGAGCCUGGUCAGUAUCUAGAUGGGUGACCGCUUAGGAAUACUAGGUUCUGUA
Acanthosepion pharaonis is the source of this 96-nucleotide non-coding RNA. The record is from the annotation of a GenBank genome assembly. NCBI's taxonomy places the organism in Eukaryota, Metazoa, Mollusca, Cephalopoda, Sepiida, Sepiidae.